Molecule: long non-coding RNA, 1263 nt
Filed under: Gopherus agassizii (Agassiz's desert tortoise)
Lineage: Eukaryota; Metazoa; Chordata; Testudines; Testudinidae
Description: lncRNA (ENSGAGG00000009153.1)
Source: RNAcentral
AACUAAAUUCAGCAGUGACAUAUGUACAAUAUAGCAUAUGGAUCAGACCUUGUUAACUUUGCAUUUGACAUGAGUGCCAUGUUGAAAAAAUGCAGGAGCAUAAACUNGAAGGAUCGUUGGGUGGAAAUCAAUUGAAAUGUUUAUGAGGGCAGAAAGGCAAGAUACUGCACAUCAACAUAGUGGAGAGUUAAAAGGGAUAAAGAUUCUCUCUCUGUCCAUACCUGUUACUUGAAGCUAUCAAGUGUAGGUCUGGAAUCAAGCAUCACAGUAAUUGCUCUUCUCCAGAGUCAGCAGGAACUAAAUUCAGCAGUGACAUAUGUACAAUAUAGCAUAUGGAUCAGACCUUGUUAACUUUGCAUUUGACAUGAGUGCCAUGUUGAAAAAAUGCAGGAGCAUAAACUCUCCAGAUGAUAAAGAAUGCCAUCAACUCUCUUUCCCCAAAUAGCUCGAUGGCAUCUCCUUCCAGGCAUGAUGAUGAAUCAGUAGCUGCCACAACUGUUUCAGUGAAGAGUUCCAGUAUUUCAGUGCUAUCCAAUGAGAAUAUGGAAGCAAGCAGGCAAAAGGAAGUGACAGGUCUAUGCCCAGGACUUCAGACUCUCUUUGGGGAAGGAAUGACCACUUUUCUCCCUACUAAGCCUGGAUACUUAUUCUCCAUUAAGACCAACACCUGGAAAGAUUUCAGCUUGGAAAGUAUGUCCAUUUUUGUGCAUGUAAAACCAGUCUCCCUAUCUUUUUUAAAAAAAAAAGUUAAUUCUUUUAAUUCUCACAUAACUCAAAAGUGGCUGAACAGAUUUUGCUUAGACUUUCCAAAGAAAAAUCCAUCACUUGAGUUGGAUUCAAGCAAUGAAAAUUUCUGAAGAUGUCUUCCACAAAGUUUAGAACAUCUGAAAGUUCUAAUGGAAUGCUGAAUGCAACCUUACAGUAAGAUUAGCCUCAGAAAAGUGACCAUAAAAAUAGCCUUGUGCAGUUACAGGAUUAUUGUACUCUUAAUGACAGGCACUGCUGACUCUUAAACCUGGCAUUUCUUCAGUGAUUGACUUUGCAUUCUUACUGUUCUUUCAUUUUGGGUUUUUUUGUUUGUUUUUGAUUUAAUCAUAUAUAUUUUUAUGGGCAUUGUGAAAGAUGAUAACCAAUAGGUUAGUUCAAUGGUCCUUGACAUGUAGUCCAUGGAGCCAUGUCAGUCUUCAAGAAGUGAUAGGGUUUCCGGAGGCAUUUAUGGCCAACUAAACUUUAAAUAAAUCUUGAGUACCUCUCUGUACGCCA